CACUUAGUGAAGCUGGAUGACUUGCUGAAAUUCUGAAGCAUUUUAGUAGCCAAGUGAAAAUAGCACAUAAAAAGUCUCAGAGUAGACUUAUACCCCUAGGAGCAGCUGUGCUAGGUUUUAUUGUUGCUGCUGUAUUGGUGUAAUUCAUAUGAGAAGGUUUUUAUUUACAGCCUGCUGCUUUAGUCAUAACCUACUGCAAGAAUACAUUUACUUCUAAUCUUGCUGUUCCUAACAGAUUAGUUCUGCCACCCUUCCUCAGUUACAUUCAUGGAACAGCAAGUCCUAGAGUGCUUGUGACAAGGAAUGUCAGAAACUGAUUCUUAUAUAUAACUAUUAGUGUUGCAAAACUUCUUAUCAAGCAUUAAGCCUUGAUAAUAAAACGCUCAGUGCAGCUGGUUGUAUGUAUCAAACCAAAUGGCAAGUAUCUGCGAGCUUAGAUUUUUUCACUGCACUUCUCUUACAAGGAAUGGGUUCUGCACAAAAUUCCAUGGCUGUAUAAUUCAGUUCUAAAGCAUUCUGCUCCAUUCCUCACUGUUCCUUGAAAUCCUUAUACAUAGAAAUGAG
RNAcentral lists this long non-coding RNA (564 nucleotides) under Gallus gallus (chicken). Lineage: Eukaryota; Metazoa; Chordata; Aves; Galliformes; Phasianidae. The record is from RNAcentral.